Molecule: ribosomal RNA, 477 nt
Filed under: uncultured bacterium
Lineage: Bacteria
Description: partial 16S ribosomal RNA
Rfam family: Bacterial small subunit ribosomal RNA
Source: RNAcentral
GAUUAACGCUGGCGGCGUGCCUAACACAUGCAAGUCGAACGAUGAAACUUAACUGAUUUCUUCGGAAUGAUUUUAAGUGGAUUAGUGGCGGACGGGUGAGUAACGCGUGAGUAACCUGCCUUGGAGAAGGGGAUAGCCUUUGGAAACGAAGAAUAAUACCCUAUGAUAUGAUAAUAUCUCAUGAUAUUAUCAUCAAAGAUUUAUCGCUCUAAGAUGGACUUGCGUCUGAUUAGUUAGUUGGUGAGGUAACAGCUCACCAAGGCAGCGAUCAGUAGCCGGCUUGAGAGAGUGUACGGCCACAUUGGAACUGAGACACGGCCCAGACUCCUACGGAAGGCAGCAGUGGGGAAUUUUGCACAAUGGGGGAAACCCUGAUGCAGCGACGCCGCGUGAUUUAGAAGGCCUUCGGGUUGUAAAAAUCUUUUGUAUGGGAAGAAAAUGACAGUACCAUACGAAUAAGGACCGGCUAAUUACGUG